Molecule: long non-coding RNA, 1160 nt
Organism: Ictalurus furcatus (blue catfish)
Lineage: Eukaryota; Metazoa; Chordata; Actinopteri; Siluriformes; Ictaluridae
Exons: 4
Source: RefSeq, a predicted model, not a curated record
CUUCACGUGCAGGUUAAUGCCCCGGGUCACUGCAGAUGAAUCCACUCCAGCUUUUCCGUCUCGCAGCUGCUCGCUGUGAAAUUCAAUUAAUGACUCCGCUUCCCAGUUCUCUCUCCAGGGCACAUCUUCCGGCCCGCUCGCCCUCUGCUAGAAAUAGGAAAAUGCUAUAAUAACACAACACAAGAAAAAAAAAAACACAGAGGCAACUUUGAUCACGCAUGCUCCCUUGGCGUCCAGCUCUUUUUCCCCCCACCACAUCAUUUCUCCUAAGUUGGAAAGUCAAGGAAAAGCCCGAGCGAAGUGUUGACCACAGUUAAACCAAUCAUUCGGGGAAAGCCAUCUCAUAUUUAAAAUGCCUGUGGUAUCAAGGUGAAGGGAUCAGCUGGCAGAGAUGUAAGUGUGUGGCGCGUUUCUGCAUGAAGAGAGACUGGAAGAGAAGAGGAGGAAGUGAUCGACAGACAGAGCUCAGUCCAGCUGGACACAACAAGAUGAAAUGAGCCUGUGAAUGGAGUGACUUGUCAGAAAGAGAGAACAAGGUAGGACAAACCAAGACCUCUGAGUAAUAACCGUCCUCACCUCUCAACCCGCUCACAGGAAAAUCAAGUAUUACAGCAGGAUCAAUGUGGCCAGGGCUGUAAAAAUUGACAAAUUAGUUAUUAGUUUCACAGCAUUUUUUUCUUCCUUCAGGCUGAUUAACUUACAGGGAGGGGUUGGAAUGUGUCACAUUCUUUCUCUUAUGGGUGUAGAGUGAAUUGUGUUUAUCUGGGCAAAGCAUGUUAUUGUAAAUGUCCAAUUAAAACUGAAAUCCAAGCAAUCAGAGCCAAAUCAGAGAAAUUUACCGUCAAUGCAUCUGUGUUUUUGAAUACUGGGGAAACCUCCUACUGAUGAUGCUUCUUGAAGACAGAAGUCAAAUUUGUGGGCAAAUAUUGCUAAGCAGCGAUUACAGAAGGAUGCCACAGAGUUUUUGAACAGUAAGCCAAACCAACCUGACCUCAUUAGAAAUUCAAAACUCUUACAAGUGAGUCUCAUGUCUCUCCAUUUCACACCAAUAAAUUCAAAAGAAAACAUAUGAAUGCUGACUUUUCAUACAACUUGAGUGCUAGAUAGCUUAGCUACAGUUGCCUUUCAGUCGUAGCUAUUUGAUUUUAGUACCAAGCCUA